AGAAUCGAUAGGGUUUGUGUUUCGGCCACAGAUGAGGCCUUGGGCCCGAUUCUU
This 54-nucleotide transfer RNA is filed under the name Caryophyllaeus brachycollis. Its description in RNAcentral is "tRNA-Arg". Lineage: Eukaryota; Metazoa; Platyhelminthes; Cestoda; Caryophyllidea; Caryophyllaeidae. The record is from RNAcentral.